GGACAUAAAGCCGAACCUGAGGAGUCAAGGCGGUCCACGGGUAUCACGCCGAGACCCCAUCAGCGAGUGGCCGACAGACCCGGUUCGUCGCUCUCGUGGGAACUCGCUAAGCGGUACGGGGCUCUGUGAUGGUGCCGUGACCUUUGCCAUUUGAAGGUGACGCCUGGAGAGCCUUCAGGAAGGGCCGAGGAGUUGCUGCAGAGCCCGCGAUGACGGCGGCGGCCUCCGAGCGUGGCCGUAGCGUGCGGCCCGAGGAGCCGGGCGUUCUUAGCAGAAGGCUGACCAAGAGACCAGAGCCCGGUGACUGCGGAAAAUUCCCAGCGGGUGAGGCGGCCUUCCUUGGCAGCGGAGGCGGAUUGUCAUCCCCGGACGUCCAAGAGAUAAGUGGAGGGUUACGAGCCCCCUGAGAGGGGGACGAAAGCGAGGUGCUGGGAGGGUUUUUUGAGUGGCAGCUUUGGAGGCGGGGUUGUG
Molecule: long non-coding RNA, 471 nt
Organism: Haemorhous mexicanus (house finch)
Lineage: Eukaryota; Metazoa; Chordata; Aves; Passeriformes; Fringillidae
Exons: 4
Source: RefSeq, a predicted model, not a curated record